Molecule: transfer RNA, 72 nt
Filed under: Camelus ferus (Wild Bactrian camel)
Lineage: Eukaryota; Metazoa; Chordata; Mammalia; Artiodactyla; Camelidae
Rfam family: tRNA
About the family: Transfer RNA (tRNA) molecules are approximately 80 nucleotides in length. Their secondary structure includes four short double-helical elements and three loops (D, anti-codon, and T loops).
Source: Rfam by way of RNAcentral
AAGGGUAUAGCUCAGUGGUAGAGUAUGCGCUUAGCUUGCACAAGGUCCUGGGUUCAAUCCCCAGCACCUCCA